Long non-coding RNA from Chiroxiphia lanceolata (lance-tailed manakin), 523 nucleotides. RefSeq lists it as uncharacterized. The transcript has 3 exons. Lineage: Eukaryota; Metazoa; Chordata; Aves; Passeriformes; Pipridae. The record is from RefSeq and is a predicted model, not a curated record.
UAACUGUCACGGCAGCAGCUCCACAACUGUGACACGAGCCCUUUGCUCAGCCUGUACCAACAAGAAGCCCCUGGCAAACCCAACUGCAGCAGCAAAGAACAGAAGUACCCCAAACCCACUAAAAUUCGAGGCUGCCUAUGAGAAAAUCAUCCCCACGUGCUUUUACGGUCAGGGGCUAACGCCGUCAGGCACAACACAAAAAUAAAUGUGUUUCUCAGAGUGACAAGACGAAAUUUUCAGCUGGUCAGCAACUGCUUCUCGCUGUGGAACCACGUGACUGCCCCAACACAUAAGAACAUUUUUAUCUGCCAGCCUGCAAUGAAGACCACGUAGUUAAUAGUUUGCAACCUCCUUUCCUCCAGAAGGUCUUCAGAGAUAGCAUUCCUGUAGCCCAGCUGGCAGCCUGCACACCACAAUGUCGUCUAGACCUGCUCCCAACAGUGGGAUGACACAGGAGGAAAAACGCUGAUGCCUGUUCUGGUGCGAAGGGAAGGAAGCACAGGCUGAGUGAAACUCGAGUUUC